UCUAUUGUCCUAAAUUUCUAUUCCACGCUCUCCUUUUUCCUAUUCUUUCUACUUUCCAGAACUCAUGCUCUCUCCCUCACACGUUCCUCUACUCCUUCACAAGAAGAACGACGCGAACCCAAUAAUUCCAACGAGUCCUAGCCGUGGUUUAUCCAACUUUUGGCGAGGAACAUCAAUUUCAUAUAGCUGUCCCGUUCGUCCUUUCUUAUCCAGCGAGGAGUAAGAAUUCAAACAAUGACUCGUCCUUCUUAUUUCUUGUCAAUUCUUUUUCUCUCGAUUUUACCCUCUCUAGUACCAUUCGAGGUUUCCAAGCACUUUCUAAAAGAAUUUCGAAUUCACAGUAGUCCCACAUCAAAAAUCUUUCCAAAUUUCGUGAGAUUUUAGGUCCUAUAAAUAGGCCUUCUCUUCACUGUUCAAAGGGAGUUUUUUGGGAGGCGAGAAAAGGAACACCCAGCUAAGUGUUUUAGGAGUUCUUAUUUUUCGUCACUGAAAUUUUGUUGAUUUGCGGCUAUUUUGAGUGGGAGUGGUGUUGGAAUUCGUCACGUUCAAACUUGUUGUCCGGUUCGCUUCCCAAAAUCAGGUGAUCUUCCCUCCCUUUUUUUAUUCAGUUAUGUUAUUUCUUCUUUAGUUGAUUGGUAGUGAUGAUUUUUUUUGGCAGAGGCUAUAAAUUUGUAUUUGUCUUGCUGUGUUAUAAUAACAUGCUUAUGUUCAUUUUUUUGUUCUGUUUCUUGUUUCUUUAAUUCUCUCAUCAUGUUUAAAUUUUGUUUAGCUUCCCUGAGAUAGUUUUUCUCUAGCUAUUAAUAUGCAUAUGAGUUCAAUAACUUUUUAUUUUAUCUUGGACUACUUCGUAUAGGUCCUUCAUGUUGAUUUUGGGUGAUCUUUUAGUUUUAGUUUUGUUGUUCCAUGGGUAGAGUAAGUUUAUUUUCAUGUGCGUGCCUCUAGUUGUUGUUCCUGAUUAAGUUGGAAUAGCUAUGUAAAAUAGGUCCGCAACUAUUCCGUAGUCAAAUCUUCAUGUCCAUUUGAUUUGUUGUCUGUUAUCUCUCUAUUUUAGCUGAGUUUUUGAACCUGGAGUGUAUGCUCUUUAGUCUGUUAACUGUUUUAUCUUCACAUGCCUUUUUUAAUUCAUGCUGUACAACUGAUGGUUUCCUUCCUUCUCGUUGCCCUCUUUAAAUGCAUAUGAUUAAGAAUAUAAGUCGUUUACUCCUCUACAUCAAAAUGUUUCGUCUUAAAAUGCUAUGUUGAACUUGGUGGUUCUUAAAUUGCUCAUCAAUUGUAUUGCUGAAGUUUGUCUCUGUUUUGCCAAAACUGAUUAUUUUUAGUAUGUCUGUCUUGUCGGAAAUUGAAUAUUGAUAGAAAUAUGGAUUGAUUUUCUUUCAAGUUUUCUUCAGUUGUAUUCCUUUAAAUUUUGGCUGUUGACAACCAUUAAUUUCUAUUCCUUGAAGUUAAUCACUGUUGCUAAUAUAUUAUAGUUAAAGUUGAGUUGUGAUUAAUGGAAACAAUUAUGUGAUCAAGCUAGUCCUAUCUUUCUGUAGCUCCAUAUGUAUUGUUUUGACUUCCUGAACUAAACUCCUAAUAUUGGAUUGAAUUAUAUCACUUGCUUGUCAUUAAGUCAUUGGUUUUCGCUUAAUUGUUUUGCUAAUCUUUGUUUCCACCAUUUUUCUGUGUAUGAACCUUCUUGUUCGAGUCUAAUGGGACUCCCAUCCUUGCAUUCGUUUCUCUUUGAGUCAACCUCCUUUAAGCCGAUUGAAAGGAAGCUAAUAUUAUUGGAUUAAACACCAAGAAGACAGCACCAACAGUAGCCUAAAGGGCUAAAAGAGUAGCAUUUUCUUGGAGUUGAAAGUUAGAAAAUGGCACCAGCUGAAGCAGAGUUGCAACCGCCUCAAAAAGCUGAAAAACGAGGAGCAAAAUUGGGUUAAAACCCAUAAUUAAUGAGGCAAAGUUGCAGCAGCCUUAAAGUGCUGAAUUUAGCAUUUUCUUCGACUUAAAAGGUCGGAAAAUAGCGCCAGAAGCAGCAGAACAAGGAGCAGAUUAAGGGUCAGGAAGCCCAAAUUUUAUUCUCUCAUUUAUAUUUAACUCUUUUUAUAUGGUGUGUUUGCUAUGAUCUUACUAACUCUUGUUUGUUUUGCCUUUGAACUAGAUGAAUCCUCACCAGAGUUAUCAAUGUUAUUUCUUAAAUCAUAUCUCUUGUUUCUUAUCACUUGUCAAAUUGUUUUAAGUUAGACAACUUAAGUUUAUUAGAAUAACUUAAGAGUCUUUCAUGUUCUUUCAUAGUUAUUGAAAAGCUUUAGUCCAUGUUUAUGAGUUUGAAUUAAUUGUAUAGUUCAAAAACUUGACUAUGGAUAAAAUUUUAAGUUAGAAUUAUUCUUGAGAUUUUGCAAGUUUCAAAAGAUUUUUAUCUAAGUUUUAAACAGGAAUUUUUAUAAGUAAUUCUUUUUAUUUUAUAAAAUUAGCCAAAACUUUUAAAAUUCGUCGGUCAACCGCAUGUGCGGAUUCUCUAAGAUGCUUAAACCCUUCCUUAGAGGAUUAUUUGAACCCUUACCUGAUUUUGAUUUUAUUUAAAAUAUUUCCUUUCAAAAACUCCUUUUUAAAAUAAUUUUCUUAUUUUUUCUAAAAAAUUAAGUGGCGACUCCUAAAUUAAUCAUUUUUCCAAAAGGUUAAUAAAAUAAAGUUGCGAAAAGGUUUCGAAACCUUUAGUUUUCAAAAUCGGAUCAUAACAGCAGCAACAGUGAAUCGUCUUCGAUGGUCCAAUACACCGUCGAUUCCAUGGACAGUGAGAUGAUUGUCCACAUAAAUGUCAAGUUGCCUGAUUUUUAACGAACUCAAUUGAAUUCUCUAUCAAAGAAAUCGAUACUUGUCCAAUAUAACUUUUGAAGAAGAAGAGACAAUUGUUAUUGAAGAGAGUUGGGUCAAUUGACACUGGAUAAAAGGCUGACCCAACUGAGAGAGGUUCUGAGAGUGUGGCAACAAAGGAGAAGAGCGAAAGGGCGAUGCGGGGAUGGGCGAAUCUUGACGGACAAAAUGAAGUUCGGUGGGGGCCAAUAUAGUGCCAGAGAAAUUAUUCUUUGUGGAGUCGAUGGUGGAAGUGAAGGGGCAAGGUUGGAUCAUUUAGUGGGUGGGGUGGGUGUGCUUAGGUGGACGUCUAUGUGGUAUUAUAAUUUACACAGUGAAUGCCACAUCUUAUUCCGUUAAUGUCACAUUUUAUUCCGUUAAAUGAAAGGAUAGAAGUGAUCCAAUAGUAAGACGGGAAUGAUAGUAUUGAGACAAAAUAUAGUUGAAGGGUAUAUUUGCUCUAUUUCGAAUAAUUGAAGAAUAGUUUUGACCAUUUUCCGUAUAAAAAAUAAUAGUGUAAUAAACUAACCAUAUCAAUCAUUAUUUUCUUAAUGAUGUCAAGUUUAAAUAUAACAAGUAAAAAUGAACGGAUGAACUAGAAUAAAGUAAAAAUUUACUCUUUUGUCAAUGUUUACGCUAAUUAGAUGUAAAUAUAUAGAUUUUGUCUUAAUUACUCCCUCUGUUUCAGUUUAUCUGACUUACUUUCCUUUUAAAUCCGUCCUAAAAAGAAUGACACGUUUUUAUAUUAAAUAACAACUUAACCCUUAACAAUUUAUAGUCACACAAAUAUCUAUCACUUGUUUAUUUUUUUAUCACAAGUUUCAAAUGCCUUUUUUUUUUAAACUCUGUGUCGAGUCAAAUCAACUCAUAUAAAAUGGGACGGACACAAAUAUCUAUCACUCACUUAUUUUUUAUCACCAGUUUCUAACGUCUUCCUUUAUAUUUUAAACUUUGUGCCGAAUCAAAUUAACUCAUAUAAAAUGGGAUAGAGAGAAUAUAAUCUAAGCAUAAUAAAUUAGAACUCGUAUGAUUUGAUGAAGGGACAAUUUGAGAGACCUCCUCUCACGUUUCACUCAAUAACAUUCACGUCCCUCGAGAUUUGCGAUAUUAUGCAUACCUCCCUUAUUUUGAUUUUUUUUUUAACAAUUCUUUCUAAUCUAUUUUUCAUUAAUGCAAUAAAAUACAAUUUGACAAAUUUGCCCUUUUCUAAUACUCUACUAAAUUCCUUUAGUUAAUUGAUUUUAUCAAAAUAUCAUAUUUGAUAAAUUCUUUUUUUUUUUUUAAAUCCUUGGCUCAAAAAAUUCUUCUCUUCAAACAGGUCCCAAGUUCUCUUCCUCUUCGGUCUUUUUCUUUGCACGGGUAAUUGGUCAUCCUUAUUUUCUCCUCUAUAUACAUUGCAACACAUAAAGUUCCUCACGGUUUAUUUAGUUUUGGAGCAAAAGUACUACAAUUUUUUUAUCCUAGAGGGUAUGCUUACGGUUGUGUAUCAAUUAGUUCAAUUUGAAGUAUUUGUUUGAUUUAUCAGUUAUCAGUUUGUGUAUAUGCUAAACCGUUAUAGAACCAUAAAUAUACUAUCUUACCAAUUAUUGAUCAUUAUCAAUUUAGUUAUCGGUUUAAUUGUUAAGAUUUGACAUAAAAAAAUAAUAGUUGAAAAUUACUUGAAAACAAGAUGACAAACCAAAUGAACCAUGCACAUGAUUUGAAAAAUUGCAUCUUUGAUCUAAAGGCAAAAGUACUCAUUAUCCCCUGAACUUGAAGUUUUUUAUACGGUGUACACCUAAACUAAAUUCCGUUUUAAUUACCCCGAACUUGCUUAUUCCUCCGUUGCAUACACCUUUUUUGUCCACUUGGCAUAGAAAUUGACAACACACUCUACUAGGCGCGUGAGGAAGUGAUUUUUUGCCACAUCANNNNNNNNNNNNNNNNNNNNNNNNNNNNNNNNNNNNNNNNNNNNNNNNNNNNNNNNNNNNNNNNNNNNNNNNNNNNNNNNNNNNNNNNNNNNNNNNNNNNNNNNNNNNNNNNNNNNNNNNNNNNNNNNNNNNNNNNNNNNNNNNNNNNNNNNNNNNNNNNNNNNNNNNNNNNNNNNNNNAAGGAGUUCCGCGAAAUCAGCCCUUAUUCAAAAAUAACUUUUAAACGAUGAAUUUUAAUAUUUGGCAUAUUUUAAACGAAAAAUAGGGCAAAAUGUAAAUGAAAAUUAAAGGAAACAAAGAUUAACACUUACUUGGUAAGAAUUUCAGACAAAUUUGAAAUUUAAUCGACCAACUUCACGUCUAGAAAAAUCCAAAUCCAGAAGGAGUUCCGCGAACUCAGCCCUUAUUCAAAAACAACUUUUAAACAAUGAAUUUUAAAUUUAAGAAAUAUAUUUUUUGCAAUAUUAAUUUAUCUAGGUGGCUAUUAUUUAUCCAAGUGGAAAUCCACAUCACCACUUUUGCCAGCUGUCGCGCGCGUGUGUAGUCACAAUAGGAGCAGGUGGAUGAAAAAGGUGUACGCGACGGAGGAAUAAACAAGUUCGGGAGUAAUAAAAACGGAAUUUAGUUUAGAUGUACACCGUAUAAAAAGUUUCAACUUCAAGGGGUAAUGAGUACUUUUGCCUGAUCUAAAACAAACAUUGUCACAUUGUAGAAUGAUUGAGAGUUUGAGACAACCACAAAUAAAAGUAUAAAACUAAAUUCUAAGUCAAGGACUUUAUAUACCAAAUGGUAUAAAUGUAAUUAUUUAAUUUACUAUUAGGUUAUCGGUUAACCCGUUAAGAAAAAACCUCAAACCGUUAAGAAUGAAUAAUCGAAUAAUAAAAAAUCAAAACCCGGCCGUUAGAGAAACUUUUAAACCAAUAAUCCAUUACCGAUAAACCAAUAACUUUUUGUUGAUUCAAAUUAUCAGUUUCAGUUAGAUUUUGAAAGAUACACGUCCAUGGAAUAAUUGGCCUCACGGGGAAAGAAGAAGAAAGCGUAGGACCCAUGUUUGUAGGGAAAAAUACUUUCCAACAAAGAAAUUACGGGAUUUUAACAUUGUUUUUUUUUUGGUUAAAUAUGAGAGUUUAAAUGAAAAAUGUAAUAUUAAAAAAAGGUAGAUUUGUCAAGUGUAUUUAAUUUACAUUAAUAAAAAAUAGAUAAAAGGAUUUGUUACAAAAAUAAAAAUAAAAUAUAUACGUAAUAUCGUAAACCACGAAGAAGGUUAAAGUAAUUGAGUGAAACAUGAAGGGUGGUCUCUGAAAUCAUAUAUAUAUAUAUAUAUAAAAGAAAACCUUAGGCCCGCCUACGUGGCGCCACCACAACAAGAAUUCUCUUUUAAUUUUAUUUAUUUACAAAACCAGUCUUCCCCUUUCAUGAAAAGUUGUGACUUUUAUGAAAAAUUGUUACUUUAAUGAAGAGUUGCGAAUUUUAUGAAAAGUUGUGACUUUUAUGAAGAGUUGCGACUUUUAUGAAAAAUUGUGAUUUAUAUGAAAGGUUGUGACCUUUACGAAGGGUUGCAACUUUUCCAAAUAGUUGUAACCUUUCCGAUAAUGCACAAUAAACAUUUGUUCACACUAUCUUUUGUUUUCUAUAAAUAGAGGAAAUUCCUCUCAUUUUAAAACAACAAAAAUUCUAAACCUCUUCUUAUUCUUCUUCACAAUUAAAUAUUUGUGUACUUUGCUCCUUUUGAGUGGCUCACUGACACCAUUGCUUAUGUUAUAUUAUCAUGGUAUGUAAUUUUAUACUCAUUAUUUUAUGCUUAUGUUAUUAAUGAUAAAUGAUAAGAUAUAAUAAUUUUUAUUUUCCUUUACAUUAUUAAUGUUUGUUACUACGUAAUCUUGUAUGUAAGAUAAUAUAGUGUUUUAGUUUUAAUGACUAAUAACUUUUAAGUAUAUUUUAUAAAUUUCAUAAUAUUAAAUUUUCGCGUUAUCCCUUAAAUAUAAAAGAAGAAAGGGCGGACAAAAUAUGAGAAUGAAAAUUCCAAAACGAGCAAAGUCAUUCCUCCUCGGCAUUGUCGUUUUCCACCAUUUAUGAGUGUGCUAGCUUUUAAAAAGAGAAAAAUGUAAACUUGUUUUCAGCAAUAGUAAAAUAAAAAGAGGCAAACGUAGUAGAUUUUGAUAAAAUAAAAUAAUAAAAAAAAUUGCAAGUAGGAUAGGAGAGUAGAUCGCUGUUGGAGUUGACCUGUGUGUAUUGUAUCUUCUUCUUCCCAUCGAAUUCAUGUCUUCGUCGCUAGUCUAGUUUAGAUCUAUCUAUCAAUAUCAAUAUUCUUCAAGAAAACAACUACUAGUAUUGGAUGAGGAAAGCGUUGUUAUCGAAGCUGAGCUGAGUGCUGGGGAUUUUGAUUGUUUGAUGGGCAACGCAUGCCGUGGAUCUUUCGGAGGCAAAACUUUUCAGGGCUACCCUCAGCCUCAAGAUCAUUCAGAAUCCAAUUCCAAUCCCAAACAUAAUUCCGAUUCCCCCAAACCAAAAAAGGAACAACAACCCCUCGUCACCAUGAAUCGUACAAGCACUAACCAGUCCUAUUACGUCCUCGGUCAUAAGACCCCUAACAUUCGCGAUCUAUACACCCUCGGCCGCAAACUAGGACAAGGUCAGUUUGGCACCACUUAUUUAUGCACCGAAUUGUCUUCCGGUAUCGACUACGCCUGUAAAUCUAUUGCCAAGAGAAAACUCAUCUCUAAGGAGGAUGUAGAAGAUGUCAGGAGGGAAAUUCAGAUAAUGCACCAUUUGGCUGGUCACAAAAACAUCGUUUCCAUCAAGGGUGCUUAUGAGGAUCCUUUGUAUGUUCAUAUUGUCAUGGAACUUUGUGGUGGCGGUGAAUUGUUUGACCGCAUCAUUCAAAGAGGACACUACACUGAGAGAAAGGCUGCCGAUUUGACUAAAAUUAUUGUGGGUGUUGUUGAGGCAUGCCAUUCACUUGGAGUUAUGCAUAGAGAUCUCAAACCUGAGAAUUUCUUGUUGGUUAACAAGGAUGAUGAUUUCUCUCUCAAGGCCAUUGACUUUGGACUCUCAGUAUUCUUUAAGCCAGGUCAAUCUCCUACUUUCUUCUCUUUCACUUUCUAUUUUUUUACUCAUAGCCCAUAGCCAGGUUAAAUUAUUCUAGCUUUGAGUGCAGCUAUUCUUUUAAUUGUGUGCGUGGACGGACAUAUUAAGGCUAUGUGUAGUUGUUCAUGUCCAUGCUGGUAGGCUACUACUAAUGAAGUAUGAUCUUGGAGAUGCUUUUAUGCACCAACUCUCAAUCUAGAUGAAUAGUUAGCUACUUUUAACGUUGAUGUGGCGGCAGUUCCCUUAAAUUGGUAUGUUGGUUUGAUGGAUUUUGUUGCUUGCUUCUCCAGGCCAAAUUUUCACAGAUGUUGUUGGGAGUCCAUACUACGUUGCUCCUGAGGUGCUUUUGAAGCAUUAUGGUCCAGAAGCAGAUGUUUGGACAGCAGGGGUCAUACUCUAUAUCCUGCUAAGUGGAGUUCCACCAUUCUGGGCUGGUAUGUUUAUAAUCCUAUACAGUAUAGCUGUAACUUUUCUGAUUUUUGUCUUUUUAACUUACCAUCUAAAUUCUUCAGAAACACAGCAGGGGAUAUUUGAUGCAGUUCUGAAAGGGCACAUUGAUUUUGACUCAGAUCCUUGGCCUUUAUUAUCGGAGAGUGCAAAAGAUCUCAUCCGGAAGAUGUUAUGCAUGCGACCCUCAGAGCGGUUAACUGCUCAUGAAGUAUUAUGUAAGUUUAUUUACCUUAUAAGUUAUAGUAACCUUACAUUUUUACUGGUUACUGAAUGGAUCAUUAUUUUCUCCCAUGAGAUAAAUAUGGUUUUGCUUGUUUGAUAGUUGUUAUAUCAAGAGAUACUGUGUUGUAACAGUGUUGUUGUUCUGUCAGAGUUAUAAGAACCCUCUUAACUUUCUUCUGGACUGUGCUUCUGGUGGCAGAUUGACUACUAAUUUAUCUAAUUUAUGUAAAAAACUGUUAGUUUAACAGUAGAGAGGAGUUUCUCAUACCUGAACUAUAACUUGUUAGGUUAUCUAUGAGCCCUUUGGAAAUAUCAGGUUUAUUUUCUGUACUUCUGAUUUAAAUAAUAAAUUUGGCUUGACUACAAGCCGUAAUAGAUCAAUUUGCACUGCAUAAAGUGGACCAAGUCAUUGUAUUUCUCAAAUUUCAAUUGUAUUGUCUAUCUAUGCCGGCUUGUAUGGUGUCUUUCAUGUAACCAGCUGCUGAUCUGGUGUUAUGGUUUCCUCUAAAAUUCUGCAGGUCAUCCUUGGAUUUGUGAAAAUGGUGUUGCUCCUGAUAGAGCUCUUGAUCCUGCAGUACUUUCUCGCCUCAAACACUUUUCUGCAAUGAACAAAUUAAAAAAGAUGGCUCUGCGGGUAUGCAUAUAUAUAUCUAGGAAUAACUUUUUUGCCCAAGUCUGUUAAUUAUGGUUCUUCAGUGUCCAUAAACCUCAUUAUUGAAGUUACACAAGAAAAUGCUGAUUAUGUCCUUUGGGCUAAGUUGUAUGGACUCUUCACUUUCGAUGCCGCACCCGUGUCGGAUUCUCCAAAAAUACACUACUUUUGGAGAAGCCGACACGUACCCAUGGACAUUUUUGAAGAGUCCAAGCAACAUAGCUUCUGGGAGGUGUGUAACCAAAUAAUGCAAUUAUUGAUGUUUUCAUACUUAAUAUGCUUUUAGGUGAUUGCUGAAAGCUUGUCAGAGGAGGAGAUUGCCGGUCUUAAGGAGAUGUUUAAGGCCAUGGAUACUGAUAACAGUGGUGCAAUUACAUUCGAUGAACUAAAAGCUGGUUUGAGAAAAUAUGGCUCUACUCUGAAGGAUAUAGAGAUACGGGAACUUAUGGAUGCGGUAAGAAAACCUAGACUGCAAACUAAUUGUAUUUUUUUUUAUUAAUUGUAUUUAUUUUGUGCAUCUGGUGAUGUGACUGUACGCAAAGGUCGGUAGGAGCAGAAAAAUGUAAAAUGACAUAAGAUCACGAACUAAUGGUCAAAUCUCAAGGUUACUCGAUGUGCAAAUACUAGAGUCAGAUUGGGAUUUGGCACUUUACUUUGUUUAAUUAAUUAUGUACAUUCAUGAAGGAGCACUUAAAACUCAAUGUAGUUGCCAAAGCUUCACUGGAAAGGUGCCCAACAUUUUUUGUUGUUGUUGUUGUUGUGUAUGUGUAUGAUAAGUUUCUGGUAACUGAGGAGGUUGUGCAGGCUUACCAAGUAGUUGGCACCACAUAUAUGCUUCAUCAGAAACAACUUUCUGUUAAUGGUUCUAGUUGUAUCUUUAAUUAGGCCCGUGAUUAUCUUUGCAUUUCUCCCUAAACAUGUUUGUCUAUGAGGUCAUGCAGAAGUGCUUAUCUAACUCUUUAAGGCCAUCGAUGUAAUAUUACUGCUUUCAGGCUGAUGUGGACAAUAGUGGAACUAUUGACUAUGGAGAAUUCAUAGCAGCAACUAUUCACCUUAACAAAUUGGACCGCGAGGAACAUCUCAUGGCAGCAUUUCAGUAUUUUGACAAGGAUGGAAGUGGUUAUAUUACUGUAGAUGAGCUCCAGCAGGCGUGUGCAGAUCAUAACAUUACAGAUGUAUUCUUUGAGGAUAUUAUCAGAGAAGUUGAUCAGGAUAAUGUAAGUCAAUUAUAUUGAGGAUAAAGUUGAAGUAUUCUUGGAACUUAUCAAUAAAAAAGUGGACACACAUUAGGAGAUUAAAUUUCUUCAUGUUUUGCAGUUCUACUGAUUAAUCUCUCUACUACUCAUAAUUUUUGUGCAACAAAACGAAAAUUAAAAAAAAUAUAGCACUUUAAGAUUUCAUAUGAAGCUUUUCCUUAAGAUAAAAUGUUAUUGACAAUGUAGUGUAUGUAUCGAAAAUACUGAUAUUACCGAAUGAUCAUAUGUGAGCUUAAUAAAAUAGUUCAAUCCCGUGCGAAGCACGGGUAAUUUACCUAGUUUAUUUAUAAUUGCUCAGAUGCAAUGAUAUGCUUUGAAAAUUAUUUUUGAAGAACUUCUUGUAGUUCUGUUCACUUCAUAAUCCAAGUAGUUUUGUGUAUUCAAAGGCAUGAUGAGAAGACAAAGCUGACAUAGUUGUCCAAAAGAAAAAAAAAGAAGACAAAGAAAUUGUAGCAUAAUAAAUAUGAAUGGGUACCGUUACAGACAUUUCUGUCUUUCUUCAAAUCAAACAAAUCUUUGCUGUAUUUUGAUUAGUUUUCUGGAGCCUCAGUAUUGGAUUAGGGCCUCGGCUGCAGCCGUGAUACAGGCAAAUUGUUAUGCUUUAGGAAAUCUGUAUUUUAAAUGGAUGGAAUGAUUCUUUUGGCAUCUCUACAUCUCUUGUUACUUCAUUUGACUAACUAUUUAGUUGAUCUUCUGGUGGAUUCCCUUUUCAGGAUGGACGCAUUGACUAUGGAGAAUUUGUUGCUAUGAUGCAAAAAGGAAAUCCAUGCAUAGGAAGACGAACGAUGCGAAAUAGUCUGAAUUUCAGCAUGAGAGAUGCGCCCGGAGCUCAUUAGCUUUUUGAAUGGACACAUGAUGUAGGUAUUUCCCUUUUUUUUUUUUUUCCGUAACUGUUUCUUUGGCAAUGAAUUUGAAGAAAUCUUUCCUUGUUCUAUCCUUGAGAAAUUGAAUUGGGUUGGAGUAUAUUUGUUUCACAUUCAGAGUUUUUUUUUUCUCUUGAGGAUAAGAAUUUUUUUUAAAUAACAACACGAGUGUAUGCUGUAAAACUGUACAGGUGCCGCAAAAAAAUUACAUUCAGCAAAAGUAUAUCCCAUCUUAUCCUGUUGGGACUCUAGCAUGUCACAGAUAGAUUCAGCUUCCUCCACAAUGCUCCAUUUUACACCAUUAACAAAAAUAAAUUUCAGAUACAGAGUUCUCUUGCAUUCCCAUCUUUUUUAUAUUGCUAGUUUCUUUCCUUUUGGCAAAAGUUUGAUGUAUCAAAUUUGACGAUUGUCCUACAUGGCUAUGUGAGGAAUGUUCCUAAGGGAGCACUAAGGCUGUCAAAUGUGUGGGUGUGUGGGUGGGGGUGGUGGAGGACUGAAAUUGAAGAGGUUAAAAUGGGCUGAGCUAAAAGUCAUGUUGGAUCAUAACCCACCCAAAUUUACUUUGGGCUAACAUGGGCUAGAAUCUGGUUUGGGUCAUGACCCGUCCAGUUUGACCCGCUUAAUCUAAACAAUAUUAAACACUUGCUAUCAUUUAUGACAAAUGGCAUUCAACCCAUAAAAUCAGCCCAGAUUUGUACUAAAUUUUCAUUUAGGUGCAGCUCCUUGUAGAGUAAAUUGAUAGACUUUAUAGUAUGGGACCAACUUCAUAAUUUUUGCAAUUUAUUUAAUAGUAUUUAUGAGAAAUAUUGAAAAAGAAUAUUAUUGAAUUGUUGUGUCUACAUUAUUACAUUGAGACUCUAUUUAUAGACACUACAUUAGACUCCUUUUCCAACUAGGACACUACAAUACCAUCCUUUCCUAAGUAGGGUUCUAUAUACUAUUUCUAUUCCUAUUCCUAUUCUAAGUAGAAUGGUAUAUAUUAUUCUUGUUCCUAUUUUUAUUCUAGACACAAUACUUAAACAUGACCCUUAACAUGGCUUCAACGGACAACUAUGCCCUCCAACUUUGAGUAUACACAAGUAGACACUUAAACUUGUAUAAAAUUGAAUAAGUAGACACAUGUGUCCUACACGGUAUAAUACACGUAGGACACAAAAUUUUCAUGUAGGGUGCCUUGUAGGACGGAUGUGUCUAUUUGUUCAAAUUUAUACAAGUUUAAUUGCCUACUUGUGCACAUCCAAAGUUAAAGGUCAUAGUUGCCAGCUGGCGCCAAGUUAAGGAUCAUGUUUAUGUAUUAUGCCUUUAUUCUAACACUCCCCCUCAAGCUGGUGCAUACAAGUCAUAUGUACCUAGCUUGUUGCAAAUGUAAUUAAUAUGAGGACUGAUGAGGGACUUGAUGAAGAUAUUUGCAAGUUGAUCACUUGACUCACAAAUUUUGUAACAGUAUCUCCCGACUUCCCAAACCAAGCUUGAGAAGAACGUUUCAUACUAUAGAGUGACUUGCACAAUCGACAUAUAAGAUUGCUAGACUCCCCCUGAGUAACAAAACCAAGUGGUUGCUCCAUAUGUAUUCAUCGAGAGCCCAGCCCAAAUAUCUGAGUAUAUCCUUUUGGAUAAAGUGAAUCUAAAACAAAGAGAAUAUUGCUUGAAAACUUGGAUUUUUCGGAAACUCUCAGAUAUGUUGGAUUUUGCACAACAUUGACAAAGUUGAAACUAUGUAAAUCAGAUCUGAGGAGUCACCGAAAAGAUGCACGGUGCUACGUAAAUUAGAUAUGAGAAAGUAGUCACCAAAAAGAUGCACGAUGCUACGCAAAUUAGAUAUGAGAAAGUAGUCACCGAAAAGAUGGCAUAGUGCUAAAUAAAUUAAAUAUGAAAAAGUAGUCAUCGACAAGAUGGCACGGUGCUACACAAAUUAAAUAUGAAAAAGUAGUCACCGAAAAGAUGGCACGGUGCUACACAAAAGUAAAUAGUCACCGGAAUGAUGACACGAUGCUACAAAAAUCAAAUAUGAGAGUAGUCACCAGAAGGAUGACAUAGUGCUACAUAAAUUAAACAUGAAAAAAUAGCUACUGGAAAGAUGACACGGUGCUACACAAAUCAAAUAUAAAAAAAAUAGUCACCGGAAAGAUGACACAGUGCUACACAAAUCAAAUUUAAGAAAGUAGUCACCGAAAUGAUGGCACGGUGCUACACAAAUCAGAUGAGAAAGUAGUUGCCGGAAAGAUGACACGCUGCUACACAAAUACUGACUGAUACGGGGUUGACAGAACAACCCUAGAAAGUCGUCAGAAGUUGACACACAAAGUCCUUUCUGACUAAGUUUUCUUCCCCUGAAUAUGGUUUUCAUGCAUAUAUCACUAGCCCUACUUUGGUUAACAUUACCAAUGGCAAGACGGACGACAUAUAUGAGUCAUAGCCGCCCGCCAGCGGCGGAAUCUUUUUAAUAAUAUUGAAAAAGAAUAUUAUUGAAUUGGUCUCUACAUUAUUACAUUGAGACUCUAUUAAAAGACACUACAUUAGACUCAAAUUUCAACUAGGACACUACCAUACAAUCCUUUUCUAAGUAGUAUUCUAUAUACUAUUUUUAUUCCUAUUACUAUUCUAAGUAUGAUGGUAUAUAUUAUUGUUGUUCAUAUUCCUAUUCUAACAGUAAUAAUUUGGCAUAUGGAAUGUAGGCAAUUAUUUUUUAAUAUGACAUGGCAUGCAAAAUAAUGUGUUUUUUUAGAAUCACAUAACAAUAAUCAAGUGACUUUAUUAUUCCAAAAAAAGAGACCUUGAUAGAUCAUUUCCAUAUUAGGUGAAUAAAAAAAAAAAAAGGAUUUGGUAACAAAAAACAAGAAGGUUAAAUGAAAUUAAAAAAAAAGAGUAAGAAGUAACUUAAGAUAUUUCAGUUUGCCAAAAAUAAGCAUAUUAGGAUAGUAUAUGAGAAAAAAAAACAGUUUUAUUCGAAUUGAGUUUCGAAUUGGUUAACAAACUCAGUUCUCAUUCCAAUUUCAUAUCAAGUGAAAAGGUCAAUAUAAACUAAAGAGAUAACGAUUGUCCCAUCUUUACACACAUGUAGUCAGGUUAGAAAGGGGGUUGAAUUGACAUAGAAACUGGGCUAAGUUGGGUAUUAUGUUAAAAUGGGUUGUAAUUAUACAGGUUAAGACGCAGCACAUUAUUAAAUUAUCUUGAGCUCAACCCAUAAAUUUUGGGCUCCUAAUAUCUUAGCUUCAUUUGACACCUCCAAGCAAGGAGUGCCACGCACGAGCAGAGCAAAAAGCAAGGGGAAUUCUUCUCUUCUUUUGGGGAGAAAUCAUUUGAUUACGUAUUGAAUACAUUGAGCACAUUCCAACAAAUUCAAAUUUUAGAAGUUUCAUAAUAUGGUGACUAUAUUUUAGCUUGCCGUCAAUUACCCCAACCUUCUUCCUUUAUCUAGAUGUGGGACGAACACGGUAAAGCUCACAUAGACCGAGUUAGGUAAAAUAUUUAUCUGUGGAGUAAAAUAUUACCCCUGUUCCAUUUUGUGUGACGUAUUGAAAAAUAUCUGUGGUUAAAUUGACUAAUUUUCUGAGUGAAUUUGAACAUUGAAUAUUCAUUUAAAAAAAAAAAAAGUUUUACAUCUUUAAAAACUAUAUAAAAAGUAUUGUAAGUCACAAUAGUUUACAAUUCAAAAUAUUAAAGAAGUAUUUAAAAAAACAUGGUCAAAGAAAAACUUAUUUUACACUUCAGAUAGUUAUAGGGUUACAUAAAGUGGAGCAAAAUACUCUUGUAAGUACUCUUUCAUCCUUAACCAGAGGUCUUGAGUUUGAGUCCCCCUAGAACAGAGUUCCUUUUGUUAGGGAGCGGGUGGGAACCAAAAAAUAAAAGUGGAACAAAGGGAGUACUAAAGUAUACUUAUGGAAGUUAAUUAAUAAUCUGAAGAUAAGGGUUAAAAACAUACCUAAACUAUCCCAUAUUUUUUUAGUUUCAUGCUUGAACUAUUGAGAGUGGGUUUUAUACCUAAACUAUCACUUAUUAGUUUGAGAAACACACAUCUUUCUUUUAUUACACUCUCAUCAUGGUGUGUAAUACACUCCCUUUUUUAUUUAAAAAAUUGCUAUAAUACACUCUACAUGGACAAAACAUUCCAUCUUCACAAAAAUUAAAUAAUUAGUAUUAGUUAAAGUUAAAUAUUAAAGUAUUGCUAUUUCCCCCCCUCCCCCCCAAAAAAAUUUAUAAAAUAAAAUGUAAAAUAUUUUUCUUACCCAACUCCACCCCUUCUUCUCACCGUACUCCCCCAUCCCAAAUUUUUAGUUUAUUUUUUUAAAUAAAAAAUUCCCUUCGAAUAAUAAUUUAGAUAUUAUUUUAAUUUUUUUUAAAAAAAAAAAUUCUACCCUACUCCACAUAACUCCCAUCUUCCAUUUUUUUUUCUCGUUUUGUAUUAGAUAUGUAUUUUCUUUUCUAAUAAAGUACUUUUUUACUUGCCGCAAGACUUUUUAUAAAAUAAAACUUUUAUUUUUGUUAUAUUUGGUAUGCAAGUAGAAAAGAACGUUUUCCUAAAAAUAUAUGUACACAUCUAACAGAAAACGAGAAAACUGUAAAAAAUAAAUUAGGAGCGGAGGGUUAGAUGGGGUGGGGUAGAAUUUUAUUUUACUUUUUUAAAAAAAAUAAUAUCAAAAUUAUUUUUAGGGAGUGGGGGAGGGGGUGACGUCUAAAUUUUAAAAAAUAAUAGGAUGUGGGGUUGUUGGGGGAGGGGGGGAUGAGAUGGAGUGGGGUGAGAAAUAUUUUAAAUUUAAUUAUUUUAAAAAUAAAAAUAUUUUUUAAAUAUAAUUAUUUUUAAAAAAUAUUUUUUUUAAAAUAUAAUUAUUUUAAAAAAAAUGGUAAUACUUUAAUCUUUAGUUUUUAGCUAAUAUUAAUAGUUUAUUUAAUUUUUGUUAAGGUGAAAUAUUUUAUCCAUGUGGAAUACCAUGAGGCAAGGUUUUUUCAAAUAAAAGAGAGUGUAUUACACACACCACUGAGGUGUGUUUCUCAAACUAAUAAAUGAUAGUUUAGGUAUGAAACUCAAAAAAAGGAAAUAGUUUAGGUGCGUUUUUGACACUUAUCUCUAAUCUGAAAGAUAUUAUUAGUUGUACAAGUGUGAAAAAACACUCCAGGAUGUUCCCAAGUGACACAAAUAGAAAGUGUGGUCGAAAUGGGAAAUAUACCAUCAGUUGUCAAUGAAGUUGAAAUAAAAUCAUGAGAGAGUUCCAAUCCUAGUAGAAGCAAAAAGAAAUUAGCCGAUUUCUUCCAAUUUGUCUAAGUUUCAGCUGACAAGAUUACUACCUGGUACCUUUGGGAGGAAGAUACAUGCACCUAGUGGAAUAGUCAAGAUACAUGCAAGUUGGGUUGAAGGCACCUUAUUAGUCUUAGAAGUGUCAAAUCAGAAUAUUUAGUAUGAUGUAUCAUCUGAGAACUUCCUGGGGUGUUUUUGAACACUUGUAGAACUAAUUCUGUUUUCUAACCAUUAGUUAACUCUAUCAAAAGAAUAUCAAGUUGAAGCUAGUUAAGGUGUAGGUAGAAUAUCUAUCAACCAACUUAUCUUCAUGUAGUUCUAUUCAGUUCCAUUUGAUCCAAUAUUGUAUAAUUUACCUUAAAACUAGGAGUCCGAUGUGUUCCACACUUUCAGGAAUAUAAAAGUCUAGCACUGAACCUAUUAUCAGCUGACAAGUAACAACUCUCUAUUUUAAAUAGUUGGCAUUGCCUACAUGGAUCAUCUAUUUAUGUUAGGUUAUGUUCUUAGUUAAGUUCUACCAGAGAUAUUGCACGUCCUUUAGGACAACUCAUCUCCUUGUAAUUUUAGGUGUACUUUGCCUAUUUGAAAUGAUGCUAGGUUGUAUUACUUUUAUUUCGAAGAGAUUUUCGUUGUAUAUGUAUCCACCAAAAGAAUAAUACGAUGAAAAAAAAAUGAGAGAGAAAGAAACAGAUCUGCUUCCAAGUUGUGACAUAAUUUUUUUUUGAAAGUCCUGACAUAAUUUUAUCGAAAAGAAAAAGAAUAUUGAGAGGCCCAGGUGGCACUGAGUUUACUCGCCAUUCUUCUCUUCUUUAGACAAGCCUGAUAAGGAAAGCUGAUUCUUAACAAUGUGUUGCGCAUCAAAGGUUUUCUUUUGUUCUCCUUCAAAAUGCAACUUUACCACAUUAUCAUAGGUAAGGUACUUGUUCAUAGUACAAUUAUUUGGCAUAUAUUGUAGUUACACACGUGCUUGUGUACUUGUUUGUGUUCUAUAGCUUCUUUUUUGUCUAGCGAUUCUACUGAAAUGUUGCUAUGACUUUCUAGGCUAGGUUAAAUAUCACAGAACAUGGUGCAUCUUUUAUUUGGAGCAUGAAAUUGUGUUUCACUCUUGGUCAUGUUAUGUGUAAAAGGCAUUCUGACAUUCAUAUCAGCUAGUUUGCAGGUUUUUACAGAAAAUAGAGCAGAGGCAAUGAAACUGCCAUAACAACGCCGUUCUAAAAGCAGCAUGCCAUGCUCUCAAGUAUAAGUAGAAGAGCUUGUAGACUGCUAUCUUGUUGCUAUGUGCCUCAACAAAAUGUGAAAUCUCUGUCGUGUGUGAAAUCGUUUCAGCUACCUAGUGUUCUUUAGUUGAGGCUUCAUGCUUGCUUCAAUUAGAAGGUGGUUCACCUUGAGAUGUAUCCUUGUCAAUUACAUAAUUAUAUGUAUUUUAUCCAUGGGUUUUUCUCUAUUGGGAGAUUGUUUUUAAGGAAAAGCACACGAUUUGUUGUAACAAUUUACGCAAGCUAUAUUUAAAGAACAUGGUCAGUCAUUUAUGAUGGCGUGCUUAAUUAAUCUCAACAUAUUCUGACUUUCUCCUUUUCAGCUUAAGUUGAUACCGAGCCGGAUGGCUUCUGUUAUGUCAGUAGCAAAGUUGAGCGUAUACAAACGAGCAUCGUUUUAGAUACCCAAAUUACUUUCAAGGGUGAAAACAUGAUUGAAGGACAUUUCUUCCUAUAGCUCAAAAUUUUGAGAUUUGGAAGCAACAAUAUUAUCUGUUAAACUUCUUGACAUAAGUGACCUUUGAAUUCAGUUUUUGGGAAUUAGAUUUUGAAGAAAAGUUGCAUGUUCCAAUUACUUUUUGAGAAAAUAAUGCUUCCUAGUUUAUGUUUUUUGUCUGGAUUUUACUUUUAGUAAGAACAACUUGGUUUGAUAUUUGAAGAAAGAAAUGCUUUGAGAGAGAGAAAGAUAGCUUAUUUUCUUGCUAGUGCAAUAGUAAUAAUAACUAGUAAGAGGAGAGAGAGAUAUGAGGGAGAAGGGGAGUAUAGAAAGUAAGAAUUUCAAUUAGGCCUCCAAAAAUAUUUAAGGGAAUUGCAUUACAUAUAUGAUAUGAUGUUUGCCUAGACGAAAAGGAUAGAGAAAUAAAUACUCGUUAAAAGACAAAAACGCAUAUUCGGCCACCGACUGCAGCAAAAUAGCUGUCGGUGAGCGAGUUCCAGUUGGUCACCCCAUGUGCCGACAUCUUCAAUUUUGUUAUGGUCAUAACUCAUAAGUCAUAACUCAUACAUACAACACGUUUAAACCACAAUAAUUAGGCCAUAUACAAAAUUUAUAGCAGUAGUAUUUAUGCAUAAAUCAAAUGGAGAAAAGUACACUCGAGAAUGGUGAAAAGAAUUACACAAAUAAUACAACGUAAUGGACUUAUCUUAUGAAGAUAAAAAUAAUUCACUUUAUACAUUUACGUACGUACUCGCUGCGAACUAAUGUGGACUCCGAUCUAUUAUUAUUAAUAUUUAUAAAAAAUAAAAUAAAAACCACUCGAAUCAAUCAAUGAAUUAACCAACAUCACAAAAGGAGCUAGCUUAGCACAUACUGUAGUAGAGUGAGUAAUCCAUCAGUUGUUCCUGAUUAAGUUGUCAUCGAAGUUGUUGGAGUAGUUGUACCGGAAGGUUUGAGGUAGACCCACAUUGUUGCCGGAUCCGAUGAACCUCCGUAGCUCCGACCUUACUUUGUAAAAUACGUGCCUCCAGCUGCCCUUGCUGUUGCAUCCCAAUACGGCUUUCUCUUCUUCAUUCAUUUCCAGAUCGUUGGCAAAGGCGGGCUUCUUGGACAUGAUCCAGCCCAAUCCCCAAUCCCACCAUUUCCUAAUGGAAUUGCCCGUGUAUUCUCCCAUAGAGGACAAGGAUUUGGAUCGGCGAAAUGCCCAUGAGGAGGAGGUGGUGGAGGAGUAGAAUGAGAGGAUGGGUUGUUGUUGACAAGUAGACCUCAUCAUGCGCAUGUUCAUCCUUAGAGAGAGAGAAGACAGCCUUUUGCGUACGCCAAGUCCUUCUCCUCUUUCUUCUUCUGUAGGUUGCGACAUGGGCAGAGCUUCUUUGCUCUGAAAACUUUGAAGAAGAGAGCUCAUAUUCUCUGUGCAAGUGUAGGUGAAGAGGAAAUCAAUUCGUCGGUGAAGAGAAGAACUAAAAACUUUCGGCAUAUAGUAUAGGUAAUAGGUAAUAGGUAAUAAUAAACAAGGUGAGUGGUCAUCACUCAUUCACCGUCACCCGCACAUUCCUACGUUUCCAUCGACAGCCUGUUAUAUUCUCCUAUUGUUUGUGAGACUCUUUUACCCCUCGCUGGCCCCAGGCUGUAAGGGAAUAAUUGUAUAUUCACCAAAGCUAGCUAUGGGUUGGACCAUGAGUAUUAUUAACGUUAUUGUUUCGUCCGUCGAAAAGGAUGAAACAUUAUUCCAAGUCAUUUGCCAUUCUCGACUCUCACCCUUCACUGCGGUUUAACACUGAUCUUUGACACUAAUUGUGUCCCAUUUCAACUUCCAACACAGAGACUGUCUUACACCCAAAGUCACAGAGUCACUUGACUGCUACAUAUACCGGAUGAUCACAUUAUGCUACAUGAGUCGGAAAUAGAAUAACUAAGCUAUUUUCCUUCAUUAAUAACUCUCCUGCUCUUAUUGUGUCUCAAAUUGACAGUCUUAACAAAUUGAAAAACCACCUCACCCAGUUGCCAAUAACACCAUACAUACUAUCUUGUAGCUUACCAGUUACCACUAAGCGCUAGAACAACUAUUAGGUCAAGUUGGCAUGCCCUUCACCACAUGUUUGCAAUAGCAAUAGAUAAUAGGAAACUAACAAUCUUAAACCAGCUUCUGCAGUAUUCUUACUGGUGAUGUCCACUAAAAUUUCUUCAAUAAUUUUAGUUUGUGCCUUGAUCUUGCAAGUGAUAUCAACCAAAUAGUUUUACAACAUUUUUUGUUGUUGAAUGUGCCUAUUGUAGGAUAUAAGUAGUCAAUAACUACAUCUAUUCCAAGACCUCGUUAUAUUUGAACACGCAAUCAUAAAGCCUUCCUCCAAGAAACUCAACAACCUCUGGGUGCUUCACCUGAAAACACAAGAAAAAAAGGAUCGAGAAGCAUGAUUAUUAUAAUCAUCAGGUGAGAUAUCCCCACCCUCCAACCGGAUUUAGUGAUAAGUCCCCUCAGAAAGGGAGUUCUUCCCUUCUUUGUUCCCUGUAGAAGCCAGAAGGUGAAGACGGCCAGGGUUGGGUGGAUGGGUUUGGCAUGCACAUCUAUUAAUAAGGCAUUACCAUUCCAAUCUUCAGGGAAUCACAUCUGAAUUGAGCAUAAAGGUUUGUCUCUAUACCACGGCCCUGGCAAAAGAAAUCAAUGUGAUAGCAAAACAAGAGAUUUUAUGAAAAUUACAAUUACUUAAAUAUGCACUUGAAGAAUUUGCACGUACAAAGUUGAACAGAAAUGUUAUUCGUUUUUUAUAUUGUCAAAUGCCUAUAUGAAAGCAGCCCAGAAGAAAGGUAAUUUACAAGUUCCAAGGUACCUGAGGAAGAACUACCACCUCAGUCUUAAUCCAUGUGAAACGAUCCGGUUGUUAAGUCAAAUCAGUUGCUAGUCAGGUAAUAAUUAUCUUUUUGAAACCUGAAAAUACAGGAAAACUAUAUGCUACAUACACAAUACUGCUCCAAUCAGAAACUCCAAAUUAGGAAGGUAAUAAGGGUAUGUCAAGUGGAAACCCUUUUGCACUUGCCUAGAGCAAGGAUACUUUCACCUGAAAACAUAUGCAUUCACUGAAACACGAGACAGACUGUUGAUUUCAGACCGGAGAAACAUUAAAAAGUAAAAGAGUGACUGGGUUUUUUGAGAAAAGGUAACUUGUAUUAGUAACAAAGGAAUACUCAGGACGUAUUCAAGUAAUACUUACAAUCGGAGAUACAAAAGUGUUGUUUUCCUAUGAACUCAUUAAGAAUUCUAAGAUACUAGGGAUAUCCUCAUCUUCAUGAGGAUAUUCAUGUUUACACCAAAAAUAGAAAAGAGCUAAACAACUCAGCUGCAUCUUCUCCAUAGAGCAGCUCUUGUUCUCAAAACAUCUCUGAUUCCUUUCCAGCCAAAUAGUCCACCAAAUGCAAGUUGGGACAAUCUUCCAUCUCUCCCUGUGCACCGACUGAUUUCCUUCCCGAUUCCAACAUGCCAAAGCUUCCUUUAUGUUUCCUGACAUAGACCAACUGAUUCCCCUUAUAUUGAUGAAAAUCUGCCAAAGUUUCAUUGUCUCCUUACAGUGUAAAAAGAGAUUAUUUAUUGUCUCUGCCUCACAUUCACAAAAAAAACAUCUAGAGCACAAAUGGAGGCCCUUCUUCAUACGGUUAUCCUACAUGAGAACAACCCGUUUUGCUAAUAGCCAAGUAAAACAAGCCACCUUGAAGGGCACCUUAAUUUUCCAGAUCAUUUUUCAUGGCCAGUAGCUUGGUUGAGUGUGUGUCCUCUGGGAGUUUCUGUAAGCUCCUCCAACUGAGAAUCUCCCAAGCCCAUAAUAGUUUGUUUUCACUGUUAUUGAGUUCCUUGCAUCAUUCCAGGAUAUUCAGAAAUUCAACCAUGCUAUUCACCUCCCAAUCAUUUAAAGGUUUCCUGAACCGUAAGUUCCAACCCUGAGCAUCUCUCAUUUCUUUGACAGUGGCCACUUUCUGUAGACUUAAGCUGAAUAGGUCAAGGAAACUAGCUUUGAGUGAAGCCUGUCCCACCCAAACUUCCUCCCAAAACAGAGUUUUUCCACCAUCUCCUAUCUUAAUUAUGCACUUGUUUAAAAGUUUGGCCAUAGAUUCCUAAUUGUCCUCCACACUCCGGUGUCAUAUGGUUGUGUUGCUAUGUUGUUGAUUCACCUUGUAUCCAUUUCAUAUCUGGCCUUAAUGGUAUCUUUCCACAGCGGUUGUUCUUGUGAUGAAAAUCUCCACAGCCAUUUCAUUAGCAAGUUGUGGUUUUGUAAUUUCAGAUUCCUUGUUCCUAGUCCCCCUUUUUUUUGUUGACAAAGUUCAUCCCACUUGACUAAGUGAACCUUGUGCUUAUUAGGAUUACAGUUUCCUUGCCAAAGAAAAUUUCUUCUAAUGCCAUCUAAUCUCUCUUACACUUGCUGGCAUAGGGUACACAGACAUCAUGUAGGUAGGCAAAGCAUCAAGAACACUGUUGAUGAGAGUAACUCUGCCACCUAGGGAUAAAUACUGACUUUUCCAGUUGGCAAGCUUCUUCUCGCAUUUCUCUAGUACAUUAUUCUAUAUGCCUUUUGAUUUGAUCUUAUCUCCCAGAGGCAUUCCCAAAUAUAUUGUGGGCAGCUCCCAUAUCUUUCAUCCCAAAAUAUUUGCCUAACUGUCAAUCCUAGGUACCUCAUUCACUGGAUAGAUGAAACUUUUGCCCCAAUUGAUGUGUAGACUUGAGGUUGCUUCAAACAAUUUCAGUAUUAUUCUUAAAAACUUCAGUUGGCUGAUGUCUGCAUCACAAAAUAUUAGAGUGUCAUCUGCAUAUUGGAGAUGUGAGAUGGCUAGACUCUGUCUAUCCUCCAUGUGUUUGUUUGGGCUGUUCUUAGCAUAUCAUUGAGACCCUCCAUUGCCCAGAGAAAGAGAAAAGAAGAUAAUGGAUCCCCUUGUCUCAGGCCUCUCUCAGAUGAGAAGAAACUUGUGGGAGAGUCAUUAAUCAAAACUGAAAAUUUCACUAUAAUGGUGCAAGAUUUGAUCCUGUUUAUCCAUCUUUCCCCAAAUCCCAUGUUUUCCAAAGUCUUCCAUAGGAAACCCCAAUUUAAGUGGUCAUAGGCUUUCUCUAUAUCCAGCUUACAAAGAAUGUCUGGGACCUUGCUAAUUUGCCUCACAUCUACACAUUCGUUGGCAAUCACAAUAGCAUCCAUGAUCUUCCUGCCCUUAAUAAAUUCCAUCAGAUGUGUAUCUACUAGUUUUGAAACGACUUUUUUCAGCCUCUCAGUGAACACUUUGAGAUGAUCUUAUAUAUGCUACCUAUUAAGCUAUGAAGGUGGGCAUUGAAGCUUCUUUCAAAAAUGUUCUGAACUGCUGCCACUACUUUGCUUACUAUUUCCCAACAAUUGGUGAAAAAUGUCAUGGUGAAUCCAUCCGGUCCAGGUGCCUUGUUAUGCGCACAUGCCAUCACACAUUCUUUGAUCUCAGCCUCACUAAAUUGACUUUGUAUCAUUAAAUUGUCUUCUUCACUAAUAACCGCACCUCAUCUAUGGUCAGGGAAGGAUCUAUGAAGGCUCGUGGGGGUGCCAUGCGGCCAUGCCACCCACAAGCUCUGACGAAAACACACACACACACUCUCUCUCUCUCUCUCUCUCUAUAUAUAUAUAUAUUAUAUAUAUAUAUAUAACAUAUAAAUAACUAACGUGCCACCCAGUGGAACAAAGUACUAUGUGGUGCCAGUGGCAUAGGAUCAAACAUUGUCCGCGGAGGUCGCGGGAUCGAAUCAUGUUGCCUGCUUUCUUUUCGUCAACACAUCCACUAUAUCCCUUUGAUUCCUAACUCAAGACCACCCAACAUCCGUCCGUAUCGUUAUCCGUAUUUCCAAAAAUCAGAAAAUGAAAAAUAAGUUUCUGAAUCACUCCAGAAGGGUUUUAUAAGGUGAAGUACGAGUCCGUUUGCUAGCCCUGUCCUUCUCGUCAAGAAAAAGGACAAUACAUGGCGUAUGUGCAUUGAUUAUAGAGGUCUCAACCAAAUCACUAUUCCAGAUAAGUACCCAAUUCCAAAUAUUGACGAGCUUCUUGACGAAUUGCAUGGAACAACUAUUUUUCGAAGAUUGAUUUUCAUUCUGGUUACCACUAGAUACGUGUUGAUCUAGCCGACAUUCAUAAAAUUGCUUUUCGUACUCACUCUGGUCAUUAUGAGUUCACUGUUGUGCCCUUUGGUCUCACUAAUGCUCCUUCGACUUUCCAAUGUGCUAUGAAUGAUUUGUUCCGAUCACACCUACAUAAAUUCAUUCUUGUAUUCUUUGACGACAUCUUGGUAUACAGACUGUUGAGCAACAUAUCAAUCACUUAGAACUUGCUCUCCAACUUCUGAGAGAUAACUAUUUCUAUGCCAAAACUUCUAAAUGCUCAUUUGGGCAAAUCCACAUUUCAUUUUUGGGUCACGUGAUUUCAAAAAAAAAAAGGGUUGGUGUUGAUUGGGAUAAAGUUCAAGUUGUCUUGGAGUGGCCAGUACCAAUUAAUGUGAAGGAGUUACGUGGAUUUCUUGGGUUAACAGGUUAUUAUCGCAGAUUUGUGAAGGGUUAUGGAAUGAUGGCUCGACCACUCAUGAACUUACCAAGAAAAAUGCUUUUCAAUGGUGGAACUCAGCUGAGAAUGCUUUCCAACUUCUAAAGCAAGCCCUAACAAUUGUUCCGGUACUACAACUUUCAGAUUUCACUCAACUAUUUGUUGUGCUUCAGAAGGAAUAGGGGCUAUUCUUCUUCAGGAUGACCAUCCUAUUGCUUAUUUUAGUAAGGGACUUUCUUUUUCCAGUCGUUUGAAAUCUACUUAUGACCGCGAAUUGCUUGCUCUUGUUUAACUUUGCAGAAAUGGAAACACUACCUCCCGGGCCAUCAUUUUUAUGUCCGAACAGAUCAUUGCAGCCUCAAGUAUCUUCUUUCCCGGCGUAUUACUACUAAUGAGCAGCAAAGAUUAUUUAUAAAAUUGCUUCCCUUCGACUUCACAAUUGUUUACAAAGCUGGAAAAGACAAUUUGGGAGUUGAUUCUCUUUCAAGGAGGCCAUUAAAUGCUGAAUUUCUGGCUCUUGCUAUUCCUGUGCCAAUGGAUUUUUCCAAUUGGCAAAAUACUCUCCAAGUAGAUACAUAUACUCAUGAGAAUUGAGAUUAUUCAAGCCAUUCACCAUGAUCCUUCCUUACAACCAGAUUUUCAUCUUGUGGAUCAGAAACUUUAUUUCAAGUAAAGGUUGGUCGUUCUGGAUCAAUCGUCUAUUCGACAAAAGCUUCUCUCAGAGUCUCACGACACACCUUCUGCCAAGCAUGGAGGAUAUUUGAAAACCUUGAAGCGCCUUUCCUCCAACUUUUCCUGGCCAAGGAUGUAGCAUGAUGUUAAGAUCUUUGUUCAGAACUGUUUGGUUUGUCAACAAGCCAAAUACCAAGCUCUAGCACCUGCUGGACUUCUACAACCCUUGCCUAUACCUAAUAGAAUUUGGGAAGAUGUCUCACUUGACUUCAUUGUAGGACUUCCCAAAUCGGGUGGUUUUGAUACAAUUUUGGUAGAUUGUUGCUAAGGUUUUCUGCAAAGAAAUUGUGCGUAUUCACGGCAUUCCUCGGUCAAUCCUAUCUGAUCGGGAUGUUAUCUUUCUCAGUGCUUUGUGGCAGGAGCUUUUUCAACUUAGCCAGACAAGGCUAAGAAUGGGUACAUCUUACCAUCCACAAUCUAAUGGACAAGCAGAGGUGGUUAACAAAUGCUUGGAAUCGUAUUUACGAUGCUUUGUUAUGGAGCAGCCUCGUACAUGGAGUCAGUUUCUACCAUGGGCAGAGUUUUCUUUUAACACGGGCUUCCACUCAUCCACAUAAACUACCCCAUUCAAGGUUGUUUAUCGUAGGGACCCUCCAUCCAUUUCUCCUUUUGUUCAUGGAGAAACCCGCAUUGCUGAACUUGAAGAACAACUUUUGAAUCAUGAUGCCAUGCUGAAAAUUCUCAAGGAUAACCUUUUAAAGGCUCAAACUCGAAUGAAACAACAAGCUAAUUCUCAUCGUUGAGAUGUUACCUUUCAAGUUGGAGAUUCUGUCUUUCUACGUGUUUAGCCUUACCGUCAACGUUCUUUGGCUCAUUGCAGGUGCGAAAAAUUGUCACCUCGAUUUUUUGGACCAUAUAAAAUUGCACGAUGUAGCUUAUGAACUGGAGCUUCCUGCUUCCUCCAAAGUACAUCCGAUUUUUCAUGUAUCUUUGCUCCGUCCAGCUCAUGGUCAACAAGUUGUUAUACAACCAGCCCCUCCUCCUCUUGCACAAUAUCUCCUGCCAAGAUUCUUGCACAUCGAUGGGUCAAAGAAGCUGAUUCUUCUUUUUUGGAACUGCUCGUUCACUUGGUUGACCGUCCGCUUGAAGAAGCUAGUUGGGAAAACUAUGAUCUCAUUGCAGAUCAGUUUCCUACUUUUCAGGGAGGAUGCACUGAUACAAAUGCUCCUUUAAGGACUUACUCUAGAAGAAAGUAUAGGCGAGCAGCAUGUGGAGAUAAUCUUAGUUUAUCUGUCUUAAGUUUCUUUGUUUUAAAUAGGAUAAAAUAAUAAGCAGGAAUUAUUUAUAGUAGUUAUAAGUAGAAGUUAUUACCAGCAGCAGUAAUCUACAGCAGUAACUGUUUCUAUCUCUAUCCAUUAGGAGUUAUCUUUAUGUUUAUUAUAAAUACUAGUUUUUUUGACAGUGUAUUUUAGGAGAAUUCUGCAGAAGAAAUAUAUUAUUAUUGUCUUUGAAUCUGGAGAUUUGUCCACUCCAUACGGACAUUGUUUAUUGGUUAAUGCAGUGUUUAAGAUUCUUGCACUUCAUUUAACCAGUAAAGUUUCAUUUUCAUCUCGUUUCAUUUUAGUUUCUAUCAGAUUCCCACCAACAUAAGCAUCAUCGCCAGUCCUAUGCCUAAAACUUUUUUUGAGUAUUGGUAACAAAGUCCUAUGCCUAAAUCUUACUGCAUGCCCUCAAUAAAUAGCCAAUUGCAACCAAUAUUUUCUUCCAUUUGAACUGAUUUUAAUAAUCCUUCUAGUUGCUUUAAUUGGUGCAAUUGUUGUAGCUCGUCCAUAAAAUUUUUUCUAUUAAAACAUGGAACCUGGUGCAACAGCAAGCACCAGUUUAACUUGGGAGGUGGUGAUUUAGUAGGGGUAUUAUCUCAAUUCCAAUAAAAAUGCAAUCGCGUAAAGUAUGACUUGGUGAUCAGAACAUAUGUGGAUAGACAUUAUGACGUAUAUUACUGAUGGUAUUAAGAUAUGAAACAAAAGCUGUAGUUACAGUAACAAAGCAUUGACAGCAAAAGACUCACCAUGCCUUCCAGAAUGACAAGGUCAGCAUCGCUUGCCAAGUAGGCAAGCUCUUGUGAUAUUCCCGUAAGAUCAAUAACCUGUCGUCACAGUGAAGUAAGACUGUCAAUUAAGGUGGAGCAUCCAGAUAUAUUCAUAAGUUCUGGAGAUAGUACCAUUUUUUGGCAAAUAAGUAACUCUACUUUUAUUUUGUUAACUUAUGACGCAUUGAAUAUUCGUGAACAUAAAAUUUUGGGGAUUUAACUAAAUGCUGGCAUCAGACUUCAAUUUACUUCAUAAGAAUUUGUGAAAGGGAUAGCUGCUCAAAUAAUAGCUUGAGCGAAGAUUAACAAGCUAGAAAGUAGAAAUUUUGUGAGGCCAAUGCUCGACUCUCGUCAAAAACCUCAAUUUAGAGGGGCUAUCUAAAGUUUAGAAGUCACAGGAUUCCACCCUUUCUAAAAAUUUUGAAGUGGAGGUAAUGGGUGGGUGGACUGGGGACAGUGCAUCAUGCAAAUGAAGUAGAUAAGUGACUGCCCCUUACUGGUAAAUCAUUUCCAGAAUUCGCAACUAAAAGGUUGGAUGUGUCCACACCUACAAGCUUCCCCUGCUCAUCUUUUAACUGUUAAUAAGCAAAAAUACAUGUUCAUUAAACCUAAAGUAGGUAAAAUUGAAAGCAUCUACCACCUCAAAUAAAGUAGGUAAAUUUGAAUAACAUUUCUACCACCUUAGAUAUUAUCUCUACCAACUCAGGGUAAGUAACAUCGUUAAUAGAAGGCAAGUCAUUAGCUGCCAAAAUAACCUGCAAAGACAAAAAAAAAUUGCCAAUGUCAUUACAAGGAGAGCUUAAUUGAGUUGUGAGCACUCAAAUACAGCCAAUGUCUAAUCCAAUCUGACGCACCUUCAUAUAAUUAUCAAGUCUAUGAAUAUGAAAACUGCUAACUUAUGAUGAAGCUUUAUUCAUACUUAAAAUCUGGUUUAUUGAAUUUUUAACUAUAUGGCUAUAGUCUCAGAGUUUGUGUCCAGUAACUUCUUAGCCUCAUUGGAUUGAGGGAAUAGAAAUAAGACAAUAAUGAUAGCCUCAAGGCGCCAAAUUUCUUUUUUCUUUAUAAACAUUUGGAAUACUAAACACCUAUGAGAUUAUUAUAGAUAAUUGGAUACUCUAUUACUCUUCGUAGGUAAUUGCAUUUUUGCGUAGAUUCUCUACUUUAUGAUAAACCACUUGUACGAGGCACUCCCUAAAUUUAUCAAUACAAAUUAUUACCUUAUGAAGAAGAAAAAAAGUGCCACAAGUACAAUUCAGGCAUAAGAGAAUCACAGAACACCUAUUCACCUAAUGUUGUACUGAAAAAUAAACCACAUCCAUUUGACUGAAUGCAGCUAAGAAAAGAGCAUUAGAAGAGGAUAAAUUAACUCUCUUAGAUACAGAAAACAGCAUGUUAAAAUAUUUAGUGUUGUUAACUAUAAUUAAUAUCUACAGAACUGAGCAUAUUAAAGAUGCCUGUAAAAUGGUAACUUUACUACUAUAAAAAAAAUGCCUAUAAAAUGGCAUUUUAAAUUUGCAAUGUAGUCAAAAUAUAUUAUGUAAUCUAUCUUUUCUUUUUCAGUUUAGUGAACAGUGAACUCUAGAAAAUUUCCAUUUUAUGUGCAAGAGAGAAACAAGACUCCCAAGUAACCUGUGUCCCAUGACGAAGUAAUUCUCUCGUAAAUGGCAGAAUGCCCAGAAUAAUAUCUGCACCAGAAUUAUCCACAAAGAUUACAGCCUGUAUAGGAGUAAGCAAGUCAGUGAACCAGCAUACAUCAAACGCAUGGGCGGAGCCAGGAAUUUCACAAAGGGUGUCCAGAAAUAGCACAAUAAAAGCUCUUUUCAAAAAGUAGAACUAGUGAGAUUCGAACACACAAUCACUGACCACGUGAACCAGCAUACAUCAAACGCAUGGGCGGAGCCAGGAAUUUCACAAAGGGUGUCCAGAAAUAGCACAAUAAAAGCUCUUUUCAAAAAGUAGAACUAGUGAGAUUCGAACACACAAGCACUUCCACUUUCCAAGGAGGUGAAGCCACUGGGUUAUAACAGCUUGUUAUGUUAAGGGUGUCUAAAAUAUGUUAUUUAAUCAUUUUGUGUAUCAUUUUACUUGUAUAUACAAUAUUUUUUUCCGACGAAGGGUGUCCAAUUGGACACCCUGACCACCAUGUGGCUACGCCACUGAAUUCAAACGCAUCGGAUAUUUGUCAUAAACAAGUAAAACAUAAAGCCCAGUGGAGAAGAUAAGUUUCACAUAUGGUUAACUACUAGCCUUUUUCCAUGAUUUCCUGCUCCAUUUUGUUAUGAAAGAAUAUUUGUCAUAAACAAAUAAAAACAUAAAGCCCAGUGGAAAAGAUAACUUUCACAUUUGGUUAACUACUAACCUUUUUCCAUGAUUCUCUGCUCCAUUUUGUUAUGAAAGUAUCCAAGUCAUCAAUAACCCAAGGUCGAGGAACGAGGUUUUGGCAACUAGCUAAAAAAGAAAUGCCAUCCCUUGAAAAUAGCUCCGCAAGCUUCAAAAAAUUAUUCAUUAAGAACAAUUGAUUCAACCUUGAAAAUGUUCAUUUUCUAAAGGCUAGUUGUGAUUUAAGCAAGAUUAAGGGUAUCAAUCUAUCAACUUGGAAAGAUUUUUAGCAUGUGGAAGAGUCUGAAUAGAUUCUAUUAACUCCGGAAGUAAAACUCUUCACAGACUUGGAUUAAGUAUGCAUUUGUGUGCAUCAACUUCUACUCUUUCAAGGAGUGCAUUUUGAAAUCAGUUUGAAUUAUCAGUUUGCGAUGGUUUCUUUGGUCCUGUGAUUAAUUGUUUGAUUGUGUAGCUAACAAUUAAGUUCUAUCUACUAUCUAAUAAACAUACUUGGGAGUUGGGAAAGAUGUUGUCUUAGAGAAAGGAUAACAAGAGUGAGAUCUAAUUCCCUAAAGGUAGGACAAGGAUUUGCGACUAGGAUAGGAAUAUACCUAGCUGCCGCAUUCAAUUAAAUGUCUUAAACAUUAUGCAUUCUUGAGAGAUCAAUUCUAUAGGAAUAAAGGCGAUGAUCUAUUUUGAAUAGGCGAGUAGUAAUGCGGGAGAAUCUACUAGUAUUAAUGAUCCGGUAAUUAGCAAUCAUCAAUAAUUCAGAUUAGGAGGAAGUAUUUUGAUACCUCAAUAGGAUUGGUGACCCAACCACAACCCUGGAAUGCUCAUCUCUCUAUGUAAAUUCUAAAGUGUGAAAUCACGUCAUAGAUUACUUGUUAGCAUAAAUAAUCUAGUUUUAAUUUUUGUAGUAGUUUAUAAUCAAAUCAACUGUGGGAAAAAAUACUUGUUUAAUUAAUUAGUAAUAGUGAAGUCUAAUCGAGUCACUAUAUUACUAGGCAACCAUGUGCGCCUGCGUAUGCCUUUGGGAGCAACACAAGUGGUCACCAUAAUACUCAAAAUAUUUAGAAAGGCCCCAAAUUGGUUAAUGGAAAGAGUACUAUAUUUAGUUUUUUUAUCAAGAAUAGCAUUAUAUUUAGUUUGCAUCACUCGGUUCACUGUCAUUGCAUAUAAUACAAAUAUAAAACAUGGCCAAACUCGUGAUGAAGAUGAACUGACUCUUUGUGAUAGUGGUGAAUAAAUCAGUGAUCACUUGCUCUUGCCACAUUCCUAUUGAGGUUAAAUUAGCUUUAAAAUGUCUUCUUUCAAGAUGAACCCAAUGACACAAAGCACAUGUUAUAAUAAACACAAAAUUAGUUCUUAAAUUACGCGCUUUUGAGAAGCUCUUGCCACAUAAUUUUUUAGUUCUUUUUUAAUCCAGACCCUCCUUCGAACACCACGCACAGAAGAAACUUAGUGCACCGAGCUCCCCGCACCACCACCCACGACAAUGGUAUAUGAGUACUCUUGCCAUAUAAUCAAAGGCACAAAUCUUAUAUGCAUACAUUUCUUUGUUGAGGGAGGAGUCAUCGAAUAAAGGGCAUGGCAUACCUCGGCAUAGUCAUGGCAAGACAGAGGUACAAUUUAAUGUUAAGUACAUAUAUAUUUCUUUAUAUAUGAGUCAUCUAUGAAACAUUACCUACCUGUGCCGAGCCAAGAUCAAAUAGGUUUCCUGCAAAAAUCCCUUUGACCAAGUUCUCCAUACGCUUAGCUUCAUCCUCAAUAGCAUCAUUUAGAUGUACUACAUCCUCAAAUAAGGAUAUAGCCUUUGCAUUUUCUUCGUCCUAGUUGAUUUACAUAAGCCCAACAACAAAAAAGAGUCAAAUCUUCUACAUUUUGGUUCACGUGGGAUAACAGGUUAAAAAACAACAAAAUGAUUUUCAAAUGAGCAAUGAGCUUAUUAAUUUGACCUAAAAGUUGAUCAGCAAAAAUUCUCACAGGAAAAUUGGGAUUGCUUAUUUGAACAAUAAGGGAUGCUCACAUCAACAAUAGAGACCAAAGUGUGUGUUUGCAUAGUCAUGCAUGAAGUACUGGUUUAUGGACAGAGAUACUUUCCUUAAAAACAAUAUCUAAAUAAUGUUUGGUUAUAAAUUGGAACAAUUUUUGUUUAUUUUUUUUUUUGCAGUUAACUUUCUCAAAAAAAAAUUGGAACAAUUUUUUGGUUAGUUUUUGAAGAUGCGUUUGUGUGUUUGGAAAACUGAUUUGACCUCUUUUUCAGUGAAUUUUUUUAUUCCCACUCACAAAAACUCCAAACUCUUUUUCAAGUGAAAUACAUGUUCAAACAAAACUUUAACUUCCAGAUACCAUUUUUCAACUUCAAAAUGUUUUUUUUUUUUUUUAAGUUUCAAACGUAGAUGAUACAUGUUUUUUUAUGAUUGCGAUAGAUUUCAUCUUUAUUAAAGUUCUUUAUAUCUUUGUUGUUCAUUGAGAACUUCCAAUUCUAAGAAAUGAUGAAUAAGUCAACCUGAGCACUCACCUUAACUUUUUUAAAUAUAUCUCUGAAUCCCAAUUCCCUAAGCACUUGCUCCCUAAGGCGACAAAGAAGCUAAAAAGUGUACAUAGAAGGAAACAGGUUAGCAAGAUAGAGAAAGGACACAUAAAUGAUGGAUCCAUUCUAUAUUAAAAUGGUUAAGACUUACAAUGCCAUCAGGAGGCCCUCCGUGACUUUUAGGAUCUUUCUUCAAAUCCUCGAGUAUUUCAGUGUACCUAUGAACAUCUUACUAUAAAUCUCCUUAAAUACACAAACAGCCUAUUCCAUAAGGAAGGUUAUGCUUUAGUUUGAUGAAAAAAGAGACGAAGACAUGGAUGGGUGAGAGUUAAUUCCCUUACUGAAUAGAGUAAAGAGAAAACAGGAACAAAAAUGUUACCUGUGAGCAAACUUUUCGGCUCGAGAAAGAGCAUCUGGAACAGUGUCAUCGCUCUCGGCCCUCUUCCUGAAGUUAAUUUAAAAUAUUUCCACAAACCAACCAAAAAAAAAAAAAAAAAAAAAAAAAGAAGGAAAAAAGGAG
This 32857-nucleotide long non-coding RNA is filed under the name Solanum tuberosum (potato). RNAcentral's name for it is "long non-coding RNA (STUB_LNC002503)". Lineage: Eukaryota; Viridiplantae; Streptophyta; Magnoliopsida; Solanales; Solanaceae. The record is from RNAcentral.